Non-coding RNA from Ictidomys tridecemlineatus (thirteen-lined ground squirrel), 72 nucleotides. The record is from Rfam. Lineage: Eukaryota; Metazoa; Chordata; Mammalia; Rodentia; Sciuridae.
GGGGUUGUGGCUCAGUGGUAGAGCACUUGCCUCACAUGCAUUAGCCCCUGGGUUCUAUCCUCAGCAUCACAU